RNAcentral lists this long non-coding RNA (1056 nucleotides) under Pongo abelii (Sumatran orangutan). Its description in RNAcentral is "lincRNA". Lineage: Eukaryota; Metazoa; Chordata; Mammalia; Primates; Hominidae. The record is from RNAcentral.
GCUGGUCUCACCGCGAAGGCCUGGGCGUCACAGGCAGGGGGAAUGGGGAGGGGACGGUAGCGUCAGCCUAGACCCACACGCAGAAGCUGACAAUGACUGUUGGGCUUUUCCAAUGAAUACCAGAACACCAUUUCCUGCAGCCUGAAAAGAAGACAGUAUAAUUAUUUGGCAGCAAGAGAAACCAGGUGCCCUACCAUGAGAAACCCAAGCCAUGUGGAGAAGCCACAUCUAGGGACUCCAGUUAACACUCUCAGCUGAGUUCCCAGCUGACAGUCAGCAUCAACUGCCAGCCACCUCUGCCUAAAAGUGGGCCAUCUUGGGCAUCCGGCCCAGUCAAGCCUUCAGAUGAGUCCAGUCCCAGCUACUAUCUCACACAACCACACGAGAGACAUCAAGAACUCCCAGUGGAGUCCAGUCAGCCCAUGGAACUGUAAGAGACAGGAUCUCACUGUGUUGCUCAGACUGGUCUCGAACUCCUGGGCUUAAGGGAUUAUCCUGCCUCAAUCACAGUCUCCCAAGUAGCUGAGAUUACAAGUGCUCACCACCGUGCCAGCCAGUUCAGUUUUUGAGAUAAGGGGAAAUUGGAGCUCAGAGAUUUAAGCCACCUGCCAGAGGUCACAUGGCCCAUAAAAGUGUCCUCCGACUGACUCUGUGCUUGGCCCUGUGACUUGCUUUGGCCAAUGGUACAGCAGCAAACUUGAUGCAAACACAACUUGAAAAAGAAGAGGACAGCCAAGUCAUCCCAGCCAAGGCCACCCUGGACCAGCCAGCCUCUUGCCAAGCUGCCAGUGACCACAGAGUCCAAUUAACAACAGCCAGUCCUGGCCCAGGGUGGAGCCAAGACUCUGAGGAGAGGGCUGAACUGUGAACCUAGAAGUACCAUCUCCCCCUGCACACGCCUUUGGUCAAGUUGACCCCAAGAAGAAGGACAAGUCCUCUGCACACCGAUGACACCAUACACACAGUCUGUGGCCCGGCUUUGGGAGACUGAUGGGACAAAGGAUGCUUUGCAUGAUCCUUGGUCUCUGAGCAAAUAUAUACGUGGGUUAACACAAA